UGAGAAAAUACAGAAAGAAGACCAUCUACAAGCCAGAGAGCAGCCUUCACGAGACACUGGAUUUCUAGAGCCUUGAUUUUGAACCUCCCAGCUUUCAGAACGGCUUCUUCUUCAGUUGACCUCUUGAAGUCUCGGAGGAAUGGCCAUUUGUCGGGGUAUGUGGGGAAGCAGAUCGGAUUCCUGUCUCUGCAUUUCCACCUGUAGUAAGGGCUGAAUCCAGAGGUGCCUUAUCUUCAGGUUGCUGGGAAACAACAUCUAUCGUCUACCUUUUUAUUUGGACUGUUUUCACUGUUAUGCUAAUUACAAUCUAGAGCAAAUGCUUGAUCCAUCAAAGUGAAGCCAUAGGAUUUGUUUCCCUUAUGUUUAAGGAUGGGCUUCAGUUCACAUGGGUGUUGUUACGAUGGUUAUUAAGGUAUUCUGCAUCCAUUAGAAGUAUUAGCAUAGUUACUAUUUCUUGGAUGUAUAUCUGCAUUGUGAUUUGAAGCUCAGUGUGCUACCAGAGUGUGGUAGAUUAUAGAUGAAAGACAGCUACAAGUUCUUCGAGAAAUGGAGUCUAACUCCACUCCCCUGGGGCUGGCCUAGGUGACUUGUUCCACUAAUAGGAUGUGAAGGAAGUAAUGGUCGGACAUUCCAGGUUUAGGCUGUAAGAAGGCUGGCAGGUUCCCCUCCGGUCUUUUGGAAUUCUUGCCCCAGUGUUUCUUGCACUGCCAUGUAAGAAGUUCACAAGUGCCCACCUUGGACCAAGACCAUCAAGGUAUAGGUUCCUGGCUCAGCAUUCUAAGCUGAGUCCAGCAUUUGUGGGCAUCCCUGUAAAGAUGCCAGACAUGGUUUAUAUCUACUGGACCAGCCUGUCUACCUGCUGAAUACCACCAAGUUGAAAACACCUGGAGCAGGAAAAACUUCCCAGCUCACCUGUCACCUCAGGAACCAUGACAGUAGUAAUCAUUGUUUUAAACCAUUAAUUUUGGAAAUGUUUGUUAAGAAGGAACAGAUAACUGAAUCUCGCAUAAUUCAACAAUGGAAGUGCACUACUUUAUAUGCUGGAAUGGUCAUCUGGUUCUUGUGUCUUUUUUUGCCUUUUUUUUUUUUUAUUCUUUGAAUCUCAGAUCAAUUGUUACUCCCUCUGAAAGACUCUCCUGCCUCUGCCUCGCCUCUGCCUAGAACAAAUUAGAUCCUUGAUCUUUCUUUUAAGCCCUCCUCCCUCAAAUUCAGUUCACUGAGGGUAGGUAAUUUUUAAAUUGAUUAAACAUUUAUUCAUGCAAGAAACAUUUACUGUAUACCUACAAGUAUAAAUCAUGAUGUUCGCUGAUGGAAAAAUUGUGAAAACAUUUUCUUUGCUGUACUUACCCCUCAGACCUAGCACAUGCAUAGUUGGAGUUUGAUACAUGUCAAUUUUUGCUAACUCCAAACUGUAGAGGUGCUGGCUUUGCUUGCAGCUAACUGGUUUGAUCUGAAUUGCUACUCCUACUGUUGCAAAGUAGCGAUCAGAAAUGCUGAUAGCAAAUAUAACAAAGUUCAAAUUUUGACUCUGCCAAAUAUAAGACAUGUGACUGAAUCAAACUUUCUUUUGCUUUCUUUCAGAAUAAAAGUAACUUGCUGAA
This 1601-nucleotide long non-coding RNA is filed under the name Homo sapiens (human). RNAcentral describes it as "HSALNT0214136". The record is from RNAcentral. Lineage: Eukaryota; Metazoa; Chordata; Mammalia; Primates; Hominidae.